RNAcentral lists this ribosomal RNA (492 nucleotides) under uncultured bacterium. RNAcentral describes it as "partial 16S ribosomal RNA". It matches the Rfam family "Bacterial small subunit ribosomal RNA", at positions 29 to 507 of the family's 1533-position model. The record is from RNAcentral.
AGUGAACGCUGGCGGUAGGCCUAACACAUGCCAGUCGAACGGCAGCACAGUAAGAGCUUGCUCUUACGGGUGGCGAGUGGCGGACGGGUGAGGAAUACAUCGGAAUCUACUUUUUCGUGGGGGAUAACGUAGGGAAACUUACGCUAAUACCGCAUACGACCUACGGGUGAAAGCAGGGGAUCUUCGGACCUUGCGCGAUUGAAUGAGCCGAUGUCGGAUUAGCUAGUUGGCGGGGUAAAGGCCCACCAAGGCGACGAUCCGUAGCUGGUCUGAGAGGAUGAUCAGCCACACUGGAACUGAGACACGGUCAAGACUCCUACGGGAGGCAGCAGUGGGGAAUAUUGGACAAUGGGCGCAAGCCUGAUCCAGCCAUACCGCGUGGGUGAAGAAGGCCUUCGGGUUGUAAAGCCCUUUUGUUGGGAAAGAAAAGCAGCAGGUUAAUACCCCGCUGUUCUGACGGUACCCAAAGAAUAAGCACCGGCUAACUUCGUG